Non-coding RNA from Danio rerio (zebrafish), 712 nucleotides. Lineage: Eukaryota; Metazoa; Chordata; Actinopteri; Cypriniformes; Danionidae. The record is from RefSeq and is a predicted model, not a curated record.
AAAUGUCAAAAAAUGCCGUUUAUCGCAUUUUGCAACCAAACUCUUCAUAUGUAUGUGUGUGUUAUGACUGUAUGACUGCAGAAGAGAACUGCUCUGUUCCCACAACUCAGUUUUUCUGGGACUUGAAAACAGACGCUGGGCAGAUUUUAAAGGGUGGAAUCUUGAUCAAAUCGUGGGUUUACACACAAACAUGUAAUACAGUGCCAGAUUUUCUGGAUGUUAUAUACACAUUUGUAUUUGCAAACAUAUAUCAUAUUGUUUUAAAUGAUGUAUUUUUGUGUGGGUUUUUACAUUCAGAGAAAGUUACAGUGGAUCGUGAUUUUGGAGAAGGUGAAGUCCAAUCUAAAAGAGUCCCCUCAAGUAUCAUCACCAUGGUACAGUGUGUGUGAAGAUAGUGAAGCAGACCCAGCAUUCACAAAAAAGAGAGGUCCCAUAAAGAGAAGAUCCUGGAGCAAACAGGAAGUACAUGCUGUGGUGAAAGCUGAACCAUUGGCUCUAAAAUCCAGAGAUUGGUCAGCUUUGGAUUUUUAUAUUAAAAACUGAAUCUCGGCUCUUUAGAAAAAAAAAAUUCUGAAUAACACUUUCAUAGUAACUACACACUAUACAUCAUUAGUUUAGCACUAACUCUACAUUAAUAGACUUUAGGAAGCAGUUUAUAAAUACAGCUUCAAACGCUGUAUUCUUGACUUGACUUAAUUGUAUUUUCAUGCUU